RNAcentral lists this ribosomal RNA (468 nucleotides) under uncultured bacterium. Its description in RNAcentral is "partial 16S ribosomal RNA". It matches the Rfam family "Bacterial small subunit ribosomal RNA", at positions 28 to 507 of the family's 1533-position model. The record is from RNAcentral.
GACGAACGCUGGCGGCGUGCUUAACACAUGCAAGUCGAACGGAAAGGCCCUGCUUUUGUGGGGUGCUCGAGUGGCGAACGGGUGAGUAACACGUGAGUAACCUGCCCUUGACUUUGGGAUAACUUCAGGAAACUGGGGCUAAUACCGGAUAGGAGCUCCUGCUGCAUGGUGGGGGUUGGAAAGUUUCGGCGGUUGGGGAUGGACUCGCGGCUUAUCAGCUUGUUGGUGGGGUAGUGGCGUACCAAGGCGUUGACGGGUAGCCGGCCUGAGAGGGUGACCGGCCACAUUGGGACUGAGAUACGGCCCAGACUGCUACGGGAGGCAGGAGUGGGGAAUAUUGCACAAUGGGCGGAAGCCUGAUGCAGCAACGCCGCGUGGGGGAUGACGGCCUUCGGGUUGUAAACCGCGUUCGCCUGUGACGAAGCGUGAGUGACGGUAAUGGGUAAAGAAGCACCGGCUAACUACGUG